This 446-nucleotide ribosomal RNA is filed under the name uncultured bacterium. RNAcentral's name for it is "bacterial SSU rRNA". It matches the Rfam family "Bacterial small subunit ribosomal RNA", at positions 64 to 507 of the family's 1533-position model. The record is from RNAcentral.
AGCACAGCAGUAGCAAUACUGUGGGUGACGAGUGGGCGGACGGGUGAGGAAUACGUCGGAAUCUGCCCAGCCGGUGGGGAUACUAGCCGAAAGGUUAGCUAAUACCGCAUACGACCGAGAGGUGAAAGCGGGGACCGCAAGGCCUCGCGCGAUUGGAUGAGCCGACGUCGGAUUAGCUAGUUGGCGGGGUAAAGGCCCACCAAGGCGACGAUCCGUAGCUGGUCUGAGAGGAUGAUCAGCCACACUGGAACUGAGACACGGUCCAGACUCCUACGGGAGGCAGCAGUGGGGAAUAUUGGACAAUGGGCGCAAGCCUGAUCCAGCAAUGCCGCGUGUGUGAAGAAGGCCUUCGGGUUGUAAAGCACUUUUAUCAGGAACGAAAAGCGUUGGAUUAAUACUCUGACGUGCUGACGGUACCUGAGGAAUAAGCACCGGCUAACUUCGUG